Long non-coding RNA from Otolemur garnettii (small-eared galago), 2435 nucleotides. RefSeq lists it as uncharacterized. NCBI's taxonomy places the organism in Eukaryota, Metazoa, Chordata, Mammalia, Primates, Galagidae. The record is from RefSeq and is a predicted model, not a curated record. The transcript is spliced from 3 exons.
GAGUUCAGACUUGUGCUGUUUAGAUAUUUGUAAUCAAAAAACAUUUGUUCAGAAAGCAGCACUUAGGGCUGCCUGUUCUGUACCCUGCAGUCGGACAGUUAACUGAAAAAUGGCGCCCUUCUGACAUUCUAAGGCAGCUAGACUGGCAGCCGAGUAAGGGAGAGUGGUGAGGUGGUGCGGGGAGGCUGGGGAAGCAAUGUGAGGAUUGUUCUCCAGAGCAGGUAGGAGCAGGCAGGAGUGGGACAGAAGGGGAGCUUGUGACUGGGGCAGUGAAAAUAAACGAUUGGCUCUUAUCAAUCACUUGCACCACUAACCGUUUGUAUUUUCUUUACUGACCUUUCCCUCUUGGGAUAUCUGGUCUGGUGGGCUGGGAAGCCAAAAUAUCCCAAUCUUUACUUUCCCGUGCCUUUGUGCUAUUUGGCUGAGGCAUGGAGACUGCAGUUGGUGGUUCCCUUAUAUAGGAUUCCCAGGCCAAAGAGGCCUGGGGACUAUUCUCAAUUGCAGAGCAGAAUAGCUGCCACCUUCUAUAUACCCACUGCUGAAGUCCCAUAAAAUCUUGGAGAGAAUGGGAGCACAGCCCUCAGCCUGAAGAUUCUGAUUUGCCAGUCUCUAGUCUUUGUCUUCCAAGGUUGCGAGAUGCAAGAGGUCUCUGAAAUCUUCUGUGAGAGUGUCCUCUUACAUUGUAAGAGAAGGAACGUUUCUCAGGGUUUCAGCUCACACAGAAAUGAAGCAGGAUUCUUUUCACUGCAGCAGGAUAUGUAUAUAGGUGAAUCCUGUGGUGUGGGCUUUCAGGCCCAGGUGCUGAGAAUAGCAACUAUUUUGUACAGUGUGGAGGGCUCAUGCCCUGGUGGAUUUUUUGAUACACAGGUAGAGAAUAAAUAAUAAAAGGGAGUGGGGAUGGGAGGCAGCUCAGUGGGGCUGCUGAGACUUGGGAAGAGUGUGAGUGUGAACAUGUGUGCGUGAAAGCACUCGCCCUUCCCAACUUGAAACAAGAUUCCUUCUGGGUUGCUUUCCUUGCAUGUCCCCAGAGAGGCCUCUAGCAGAGAGACUCCAGUUGGGAUAGUAGUUUUGUCAACUUUACCUACACCUUCCCAGUUCUUGACAAAUAACUAGAGGUUGUUGGGUUCAAGAAUAUGGGUGGAAUGUGGGAAUGCCAUUUCAAUGUUUAGCUUCAGUUUUAAUUCAUCUUUCUCUUCAGCACUGUGUCAACCAAGAGCUUUCUCAGCAAGCACCACAUAUUGCAGCACUUUGUAGUGAGAGAAAACUCUGGGUCAUACUAUUAAAUGCUUCACUUCCAUUUCCUCACCUGGACAGUUCUCUGUUUAAAAUUUUGUGCUGAGAGUUGAUCUUUCCCUCUCACAAUGUUACUGCAAUACAGCCCUUCUUCAGAUGUGCAGAUCCUUAAUCUGGCCCUCUAGUUGUCCCCGUCUGUCAUAAUGUACCCUUUUGCUCAAGUAUCUCUCACCCCAAGGCUGGAACAGGGGGCUGGUGGGAGAUAAGUUUGCUUGCUCAUAAUGAUGUCCUUUCUCUGGGUACUUACUUCCCCCUGGUGCUUUCAGAUGGAUUUGUGUGUGGCAGUGGGUGAAGUGAUUGCAUGAAAUUUUCUGUAACCCACUAACUUUGUAUUAUUAAAAGCUUGAGAAAGUUUUGCUUUUAGUGUCAGGGCAAGGAAAAAAACUGUAGCCCAAAGAAAUACCCUUAGGGUAAGAUUAUGUUACAAUAGAAAAUUGAAUUUCCUGGGGCAGAGGCUGCCUCCCCAUUUUGGAUGUUUAGGCCUCUAGUGAAAAAUAUCUUUUUAUGGUCCCUGAGGUGGAUACGGAUGCUAGGGCUCUCCAGUGGGUGUAGAGGUGGGGAACAAAGUUUAAACCACUGUAGCUUUUUUUGUGUUUUUUUUUUUUAAGUGGGGGAACAGAGAGGGAAGGUACUCAUUGUUGAUAUUUGUUACUAGAAAGUCUUUUAAGAAAGCUGGUUUUCUUGGUGAAUGGAGAAUGAAACUGCCACAUCCUUGUUGGUUUAGUCCCAGAGAUCACUCACAGCAACACUAGACGUCUGGUUUUGUUUCUGUUUGUCUUUUUAUUAUGAAAAAACUAUGUCAAGGGGGGAAAUGUGGGUUAUGAUAACCAGAGAAAUCCUUAGCCUUGUUUUCCUUAGAAGACUUGUUCAGUGUUUUAUCAGAUGUCUGUUGUAGUUGUAGAUGGAAAAGCUUGUGGUAAAAACAAACACCACAUGGAACCUGUAAAUGUUUUUGCACAGCCUGUAAAGCAUUCUUGGAAGUGGCCAGUAAAGAAGGGUUUUACCAUUUAAAAAGAAAAAUGUAACCGUGUCAUUGUUUACAUCUGUAACUUUUUCCUCCCCUGUUCUCAUCAACAUUAUGGCAAAAAUGUAGGCACAGUAGCUUCCAGUUUUAGAAUAAAUAACCAUUUGAAUUGAAUUCA